CUGCCAACCGUCCUAGCCCUCUGCAUCCCUCGAUCUCCGCGGCCCCGCCCACGACACUCUAAUCUACGCAACGAUUGCACGAUAGCUAUCCCGCUAUUUUCUCUGCUCCAGAUCCAUCGUCUUCCCAAUAGCUCUGCCCCCGCGGUCCCCUCCGCCCUGCCCUACAGCCGCCGAGCUCCCGUGCCGCCCCCACGCGUGCCGCGCUCUCCCGUCGUCAUGCUACAGGCCCUCCUAUAAUGGAUCCACAGGCGGGGGGCCUAUCCUCCGGCGUCGGAGGGGGCGGCGGCCUGAAGAACGACGAGUCAGUCCAUGGAGAGCGCACACCUGUCGCUGCAGAUGAAUAAGCAGUGUACUCGCCGCCGCCGCCGCCAAGUGAGAGGCUCCUGCUUCCGGAGGCGAGGAGCUUGUCGAGGUCCAACUCCUCAAGGAGAGGCGCACUCCACAUGUUCGUCGGGCUGCCCCGCCCACCCCAUGGCUACCUGCUCGCCGCUGUGCCCACCGACCCCAUGCACUACUAGCCUGUUGUAACCCUCCGCCAUGGGCAUCAGCGCGUGACGUGGUAGCUGCAGCAAGCAUUUUCUGACCUCUUAAGUGUUUGUUAUAAUGCCUACAGGAAGUCAAGCAAAAAAUUAUUUCAAGUUUGUACCGAUGUUUAUGAUAGUUGGAGAUUAUGGGUAAAAUAUAUUUUCUUGCUGGCUAAUGAUUGUAUCCAUUUGUUGUGUGGGAAUUUUGUUAUAGCAAAAGCUGAAUACAUGUUCGUCGGCUGUCUGUCGUCUCCAGCUGCCCGUCCGCAUCAUGGCGUAUGCAUCUUCCAGUAUGCAUCUUCUGGAAUCCAAGGUCAGAACAUUCAUCGGGACCCAUAAGACAUAUCCGAGAUGCUGAUUAAAUCAGUCACCAAUUUUUGAAAAUCGACAAUGUUUAUAUGGACAGCAAAGCUUGAUGUUGUAUUUUCCCCUUACUCUACCUUCUACCAUACACCACUGAACUUUUGCCUCCAGUGCAAUGAAUUAUACAUAUUGCACAUGCUUCAGAUUUGUAAUGCCCUUUCUGCUACAUAUACAAUACUAUUGAAGCUUUUGACUGCUCAUACUUUACUGGGGAGUGUAAUUAUGCAAACAUAAGUAUAUGAAGAAAGUAAUUAUGCCCGACUCUACUUGCAGAAGGUUGGACUCUACUACAUCGAGAAGAAGAAAUAUUAUAUGAAGUUCCAAAGUUACCUUUUUAUUUGUGAAAGUCUGAUGCAUCUCAAACUCGGUUUGCUUUGCUGCAGGAUGAUGAAGAGGAAAAGGGAAAGGGGGAGGAGCUCAAGGAAACAAAGAGGGGUGGAAUAAGGGAUAAACAAGGAUGGGAUGGGAGGCUUCCAAGCCAACGGCAAAACAGAAACAUGAUGCAAGUGGUUGCCUCAUUGUUAGAUGCAUGCUGAUGUAUAUUUUUACGUGUCUCUUCUCUAUAGAAACAUAAGCAAGUAUCAUUAUACUGCUUGAGAAGACCAAAGCAUGGGAGAUUGUGGUUUCCAAAUCAGAGAAUUGUGGUUUUGAAGUUGUUGGUAAAAGGUAAUUCAUAUAGGCCAAGACGUUCUCAAUAUGCCGCAUCGGGAACAUCUAUGAAGAGAUUAACCAUCUGAAGACUUGGUUACCUGGUUUUAUUUUAAAGGAAGUUGUGUGUGAGGGAAGGAGAGCAAUAAAUUUGUGCAUGAACUAACAGUGUUGGUAAGAAUUUAGGUGAAUACACUGAUCUUGUUAGUUAGCUAUUUGUAACUAACAUCAUACACUAUUUUUAUGAUGACCAAUAGAUUGUUGUUUCCAUCAAAAGAUAAAAUAUUCCAGGAAUGGCACGUUGUUUAUAACUUUUCGAUUCAUUGAAGCCUCAGCGAGGUCGGAGGAGACGAGGGCAUUUUAUUCCGGGUGGUGUCGGAGGAUGUGGGGAGCAAACCGCCGCACCCAAGAGAGUAGAAAAGGGUCGGUUGUCCCUCAAACUCAUUCCACAUAUGGGGAAGAAAUGAGGCUGUUCAAGGCUUCAGGCAGUCUGCUACAUCGGCUCACCUCAGACCAAGUUUUUUCUUUCUUUAUUCUCUCUCUCCAUCCCAACCAAUUAUAUGCAUGUGACUGAUAAUUUGGGGGACCUGGCCGCAUGGAUAGACAAAUGAUGUUCAAAGUGGACACGUUCAGACAUUGUUCGGAUGUGCCAGCUGACAUACAGGGGGUGGGUCAUAUUUUCAUAGUCCAAUUGUAGAUGCUUUUAUCCGUUUAGUAGGAGAGGUUAGGAUAGAUCAAACCACAACUUUUUAACGAUACGUGCAACGCACGUGCACGCUUACUAGUUUUUUGGAAAUCAUCAUUUUUUCAUUUUUGUACAGGUCG
Molecule: non-coding RNA, 2360 nt
Organism: Aegilops tauschii subsp. strangulata
Lineage: Eukaryota; Viridiplantae; Streptophyta; Magnoliopsida; Poales; Poaceae
Source: RefSeq, a predicted model, not a curated record